GGGUUGUGAGGUUAAGCGACUAAGCGUACACGGUGGAUGCCCUGGCAGUCAGAGGCGAUGAAGGACGUGCUAAUCUGCGAUAAGCGUCGGUAAGGUGAUAUGAACCGUUAUAACCGGCGAUUUCCGAAUGGGGAAACCCAGUGUGUUUCGACACACUAUCAUUAACUGAAUCCAUAGGUUAAUGAGGCGAACCGGGGGAACUGAAACAUCUAAGUACCCCGAGGAAAAGAAAUCAACCGAGAUUCCCCCAGUAGCGGCGAGCGAACGGGGAGGAGCCCAGAGCCUGAAUCAGUGUGUGUGUUAGUGGAAGCGUCUGGAAAGGCGCGCGAUACAGGGUGACAGCCCCGUACACAAAAAUGCACAUGCUGUGAGCUCGAUGAGUAGGGCGGGACACGUGGUAUCCUGUCUGAAUAUGGGGGGACCAUCCUCCAAGGCUAAAUACUCCUGACUGACCGAUAGUGAACCAGUACCGUGAGGGAAAGGCGAAAAGAACCCCGGCGAGGGGAGUGAAAAAGAACCUGAAACCGUGUACGUACAAGCAGUGGGAGCCUCUUUUAUGGGGUGACUGCGUACCUUUUGUAUAAUGGGUCAGCGACUUAUAUUCUGUAGCAAGGUUAACCGAAUAGGGGAGCCGAAGGGAAACCGAGUCUUAACUGGGCGUUAAGUUGCAGGGUAUAGACCCGAAACCCGGUGAUCUAGCCAUGGGCAGGUUGAAGGUUGGGUAACACUAACUGGAGGACCGAACCGACUAAUGUUGAAAAAUUAGCGGAUGACUUGUGGCUGGGGGUGAAAGGCCAAUCAAACCGGGAGAUAGCUGGUUCUCCCCGAAAGCUAUUUAGGUAGCGCCUCGUGAAUUCAUCUCCGGGGGUAGAGCACUGUUUCGGCAAGGGGGUCAUCCCGACUUACCAACCCGAUGCAAACUGCGAAUACCGGAGAAUGUUAUCACGGGAGACACACGGCGGGUGCUAACGUCCGUCGUGAAGAGGGAAACAACCCAGACCGCCAGCUAAGGUCCCAAAGUCAUGGUUAAGUGGGAAACGAUGUGGGAAGGCCCAGACAGCCAGGAUGUUGGCUUAGAAGCAGCCAUCAUUUAAAGAAAGCGUAAUAGCUCACUGGUCGAGUCGGCCUGCGCGGAAGAUGUAACGGGGCUAAACCAUGCACCGAAGCUGCGGCAGCGACGCUUAUGCGUUGUUGGGUAGGGGAGCGUUCUGUAAGCCUGCGAAGGUGUACUGUGAGGUAUGCUGGAGGUAUCAGAAGUGCGAAUGCUGACAUAAGUAACGAUAAAGCGGGUGAAAAGCCCGCUCGCCGGAAGACCAAGGGUUCCUGUCCAACGUUAAUCGGGGCAGGGUGAGUCGACCCCUAAGGCGAGGCCGAAAGGCGUAGUCGAUGGGAAACAGGUUAAUAUUCCUGUACUUGGUGUUACUGCGAAGGGGGGACGGAGAAGGCUAUGUUGGCCGGGCGACGGUUGUCCCGGUUUAAGCGUGUAGGCUGGUUUUCCAGGCAAAUCCGGAAAAUCAAGGCUGAGGCGUGAUGACGAGGCACUACGGUGCUGAAGCAACAAAUGCCCUGCUUCCAGGAAAAGCCUCUAAGCAUCAGGUAACAUCAAAUCGUACCCCAAACCGACACAGGUGGUCAGGUAGAGAAUACCAAGGCGCUUGAGAGAACUCGGGUGAAGGAACUAGGCAAAAUGGUGCCGUAACUUCGGGAGAAGGCACGCUGAUAUGUAGGUGAAGUCCCUCGCGGAUGGAGCUGAAAUCAGUCGAAGAUACCAGCUGGCUGCAACUGUUUAUUAAAAACACAGCACUGUGCAAACACGAAAGUGGACGUAUACGGUGUGACGCCUGCCCGGUGCCGGAAGGUUAAUUGAUGGGGUUAGCGCAAGCGAAGCUCUUGAUCGAAGCCCCGGUAAACGGCGGCCGUAACUAUAACGGUCCUAAGGUAGCGAAAUUCCUUGUCGGGUAAGUUCCGACCUGCACGAAUGGCGUAAUGAUGGCCAGGCUGUCUCCACCCGAGACUCAGUGAAAUUGAACUCGCUGUGAAGAUGCAGUGUACCCGCGGCAAGACGGAAAGACCCCGUGAACCUUUACUAUAGCUUGACACUGAACAUUGAGCCUUGAUGUGUAGGAUAGGUGGGAGGCUUAGAAGUGUGGACGCCAGUCUGCAUGGAGCCGACCUUGAAAUACCACCCUUUAAUGUUUGAUGUUCUAACGUUGACCCGUAAUCCGGGUUGCGGACAGUGUCUGGUGGGUAGUUUGACUGGGGCGGUCUCCUCCUAAAGAGUAACGGAGGAGCACGAAGGUUGGCUAAUCCUGGUCGGACAUCAGGAGGUUAGUGCAAUGGCAUAAGCCAGCUUGACUGCGAGCGUGACGGCGCGAGCAGGUGCGAAAGCAGGUCAUAGUGAUCCGGUGGUUCUGAAUGGAAGGGCCAUCGCUCAACGGAUAAAAGGUACUCCGGGGAUAACAGGCUGAUACCGCCCAAGAGUUCAUAUCGACGGCGGUGUUUGGCACCUCGAUGUCGGCUCAUCACAUCCUGGGGCUGAAGUAGGUCCCAAGGGUAUGGCUGUUCGCCAUUUAAAGUGGUACGCGAGCUGGGUUUAGAACGUCGUGAGACAGUUCGGUCCCUAUCUGCCGUGGGCGCUGGAGAACUGAGGGGGGCUGCUCCUAGUACGAGAGGACCGGAGUGGACGCAUCACUGGUGUUCGGGUUGUCAUGCCAAUGGCACUGCCCGGUAGCUAAAUGCGGAAGAGAUAAGUGCUGAAAGCAUCUAAGCACGAAACUUGCCCCGAGAUGAGUUCUCCCUGACUCCUUGAGAGUCCUGAAGGAACGUUGAAGACGACGACGUUGAUAGGCCGGGUGUGUAAGCGCAGCGAUGCGUUGAGCUAACCGGUACUAAUGAACCGUGAGGCUUAACCUUACAACGCCGAAGGUGUUU
This 2931-nucleotide ribosomal RNA is filed under the name Escherichia coli. RNAcentral's name for it is "bacterial LSU rRNA". It matches the Rfam family "Bacterial large subunit ribosomal RNA". The record is from RNAcentral. Lineage: Bacteria; Pseudomonadati; Pseudomonadota; Gammaproteobacteria; Enterobacterales; Enterobacteriaceae.